AAAAAGGAUAAACAUUAUGGAUUUCCAUUAUCUCAAGCAAAAACAAAGAGUUCAAAAUAUUAGUGGUAAGAACUGUCAAAAACUUGUGAUAGCUAUGAUGAAGAGUUUGUGCAUCGACUUCUCACGAAUCAUUCACAGAGUCGAUUGUCGAUGCAAUAAUUGCUGAUUCGUGAAAACGGGUAACUUUUGCUUGUCUUAAAGUGCCUUAAAUCCAUCGUUAUAAUAUUACUUUGUUUGUAAAUUGUUUUAAAAAAUAAAUUUAAAUAUAACUUUUAAA
Hydra vulgaris (swiftwater hydra) is the source of this 277-nucleotide long non-coding RNA. RefSeq lists it as uncharacterized. The record is from RefSeq and is a predicted model, not a curated record. Lineage: Eukaryota; Metazoa; Cnidaria; Hydrozoa; Anthoathecata; Hydridae.